UACGGAGGGGGCGAGCGUUAUUCGGAAUUAUUGGGCGUAAAGGGCGCGUAGGCGGCCCGGUAAGUCAAAGGUGAAAUCCCUCGGCUCAACUGAGGAACUGCCUUUGAAACUGUCGGGCUUGAGGCCGGGAGGGGGUAGCGGAAUUCCCAGUGUAGCGGUGAAAUGCGUAGAUAUUGGGAGGAACACCAGUGGCGAAGGCGGCUACCUGGACCGGAUCUGACGCUGAGGCGCGAAAGCGUGGGUAGCAAACAGG
RNAcentral lists this ribosomal RNA (253 nucleotides) under uncultured bacterium. Its description in RNAcentral is "partial 16S ribosomal RNA". It matches the Rfam family "Bacterial small subunit ribosomal RNA", at positions 524 to 776 of the family's 1533-position model. The record is from RNAcentral.